GUGUGGUAAUCAGCAAUACAAUUUAAAUUGCAUAAAAUCAACAUCCUCAAACAACGCACACGAUUGACUUUAAGUAAGUUAUCAUUUACUUGGCUUAUAUGCCACUAAUUAUUUCUAACGUCUUGUAAAAUCACUUCUACAGCCACUCUGAUAUCUUAAGGAAAUGGGAAAUAUGCAGAACUUGAGGCUUGAAAGUGAAAUAAUAACAUUGAAAAUGUGCAUUGGUUUUGUUGUCAGUUUUGUUGUUCCCUUAAAAAUGGAUUUAAAUCAAAGAAUAAAAAGUCUAUAUCCUGCUUAAGCAUAAGGCUUGGUAUGUUUUUAUUCUGGUAAAAACUAAAUAUUAAAGAAAAAACAUGAUCCAUAGUCCCUUGUCUAAAGAGGGCAUCUUAGAAAGCAAUGCUUUAUGCAACAUGCGAGUACGUGUGUGUGUGUGUGUUGUCAGUUUAUGUGUUUUUCACUUAAAGAGAAUUAUCCCACCACGUGG
Rhinichthys klamathensis goyatoka is the source of this 484-nucleotide long non-coding RNA. RefSeq lists it as uncharacterized. The transcript has 2 exons. The record is from RefSeq and is a predicted model, not a curated record. Lineage: Eukaryota; Metazoa; Chordata; Actinopteri; Cypriniformes; Leuciscidae.